RNAcentral lists this small RNA (2731 nucleotides) under Neurospora crassa OR74A. RNAcentral describes it as "Neurospora crassa sRNA NCU14012". The record is from RNAcentral. Lineage: Eukaryota; Fungi; Ascomycota; Sordariomycetes; Sordariales; Sordariaceae.
CAACGCCUGACUUGGCAAAGAUCCAUGAGUCUGGUCAUUCGACAACCCCGGGUCCACGACCCACCCUACGCCAGGCACGGCUGAUGCUCGCUAUCUUUUCUUCCUCCACUGAGCCAAAGAGGAGAUAGUGUACACUACCAUCCGAGACCCAAACUGUCGGUUCUACCCUGACCGGAUGUUAGCUCAACCUUCCCGUAUCUCCGCAAUACCCACUGGUCCGUCAGUUUCUGACGAUACAGCGUAUUUUGGAUGCGCCUAUAUUGGACGAGACCCCAUUUCACACCCUCUGUUCCCCGGCUUUGGCCGUCCCUCUACGACUUGGGGUGAAGCUGGUCUGGCUCUUGACCAUUCCCGACUCCCCUUCCCAUAGUUGUACCGCGGCUUUCCAUAUACGGACCAUGCGACAGGUACAUUGGUGAUAUGCGAGCGACCCCGAAGAUCCAAGAGCACAUCUGUCGAAAGAAGCUAGUCACAAAAUCUCGCAAUCUGCAUGUCAAAGCAUUCCAUCAUGUCUAGGAUGCGAUCUUCCAGACUUACGAACCCAGUCAUAACAAGACAAGCCUCCUUCCUCGGCGUCCGGUAUCGUAGCGUUGCGGGCAUCGUCACUUUCCAUACGUGUCGCCUAGCGGAUGGGUUCGGGCGGCUGAGAGCCCAGGGGGGGACGAAGUACUCCCCAAAGAUCACCCCAAGGGGUAACCUGCUGUCUCGCUGUUUGACAGGCAUGACCUAUCACGUUGCUCAAAUCUUCCUUGUUGACAGGUAUCGCAACACAUCGAAUUCCUCGCGGAGCGAUAUAAAGUAUAUGCGGUGAAGAACCAAAGUGUUUGAUCCAUGAAACAUGCAACCUGCAACGGGGCUCUUAUCGAGAUCGCCCCUUCGACUACUGCAAAACCAGGAUCCUUUGGUUAUCGCUCAAUUUGACCUAGUACGACGCUAUUGCUAUGGCGGAGGCGCUUGUGGUUCGUCCGAUCCUCGAAGAACUCUCUGAUGUAUGAUGAUCGAAGCUAGGAUAGAUCGAUUUGAUGGAACCCAGGCUGAAUACGUGGUCGAUGAAAGCUCUUCGGGGACUUCAUCACAGUUUCACAUCACUUUCGUGGUCCUCUCCGCGCUUGUUCAGAGAGCUCGUGAUUGAAGCAUGUGGACGCGGUACCUGACCAGGCUUACUGGACCAGAAUAAGGCCGUCUUCCGUGUUUCGCAGUGGUGUGAAGUGUCUUAGGAUCUCCUUACUUCGUCUGCGCCCAAAUUGUUGGUCCCCCGAUAUUCUACCGUUCCGUCAAAUGGCUCAGCUUCUGCAGGCCUCCCAAGCGAUAUUACUACGGUGAUUAGACGAUAUAUCAGAUGGAAGGACAACACUUGAGGAAGGCGUCAAGUCACCAAGGACAAAUGCAGUGGCGCUCGUGGAAGCAUCAAGCCAUUCACGGGAAACAAAGUUACGGGGCUUCGAAACAUGUCGACAGGGGAGAUGUGCCGAACUGGGCUGCGCUUGGAAAAAAAGACACUCCGUGAGGAUGAGGAUGGGACAGCGGACGAUCACAUUGCACAUGCCCAAUCCUUGGAUGGAAACUCGCAUCCCGCUCCUUAGACGCAGCUGAAUUUGACUUGAAUAUACAUUCGUACCUGGGUGCUGUGGUAUCACCGAAUAUCUUGAUCGACCGACUCAUGUACUCGUUAGACCAGGUACGUGUGAUGAAAAGGGAUGAGUGUUUCAGCGAGACCACUUGAUGUGACGUGUGGCUGCCUCUGUCUGCCUGCAAGAUACAAGAUAAAAAGCCAGAGGGUAGAGGACGGGAUUGGAGAAAACAACUGGAGAAAACCGAAAAUGGGAAAUUGAAAGAGACAAGGAAAGCAAACAAGCGCAGUCUCUGCCAUAUCCUCGCCCACAGGUAACCACGUGAAAAUAUACCGACCACAUUUGAUCAUCGACUUUUCCUCCCUACGUACCACAAAUGCGCCGAGAAAGGGGGUCCCGUCCUCGCUCGGCCAUUCGGCAACUAUAUCGACCGCCCAACGGACAAACACGAUGCGCUCAUGCAAGAACAACAAUAUUGGGUUGCUAACACCUUGUCGGCAAAUCCCAGCGCUCUUGCUGUUCUGAUUCCUGCUGCCCCGCAGCAGAGGAGCAGCUUCAAGCGUCAUGCUGUCGUGGACCCAGCAAACACUUGACACAACUCAACUCUGCCCAAGUUUUAGGGUUCAAGACCCGGGAGGAUCGAUGCCGAUGAUCUGAAACUUGCACUCGGGUCCCAAUAGUCAGGCAAUCCUUGGCAGUAGUUGAAACCAGAUCGGCAGAAUGGAGCAAGACACGAUGAAGGAUAUGAGCUGAGAAUGCGAGGGUGUAAAUGUAGCGAGAGACGAAGAGGGCAGCAAAUACGAAUCCUCGUGAAGACUGGUUGAUUGAACCGAUUUGAAUAAGUGGAAUUUAACCCAGCUCAUCACCUCGUUCGUCGUUCUGGUGCUCUCCUCCCGGAGCCGCGUCCUGUUCCAAAUCGUCGUAGCUUUCCCCCCCAAUAUCCCAACCUAUCGACGACGGCUGAAGGAAAGGGUGGCUAUCGUCAUCUAUUCAUUCGCCGGCCCAAGUACCGUUAAACCUCAUCUUUGGACCCCGGUCGAGCGAUGCACAUCCCCGCUACCGUACAACCCAUCGUCGCUAACUGGCGUGACAGGCUCUGGUAUCGAGUUGCUCGCUUUCCCGGCACCAGCGCCUGUACCCGAACCUCCUCCAACCCCCAU